RNAcentral lists this transfer RNA (75 nucleotides) under Chitinophaga barathri. It matches the Rfam family "tRNA". Rfam says of the family: Transfer RNA (tRNA) molecules are approximately 80 nucleotides in length. Their secondary structure includes four short double-helical elements and three loops (D, anti-codon, and T loops). The record is from Rfam by way of RNAcentral. Lineage: Bacteria; Pseudomonadati; Bacteroidota; Chitinophagia; Chitinophagales; Chitinophagaceae. RNAcentral also lists the same sequence under 9 other names.
GGGAGCUUAGCUCAGCUGGUUCAGAGCAUCUGCCUUACAAGCAGAGGGUCGACGGUUCGAAUCCGCCAGCUCCCA